CUGAAGAUUUAAUCAGGUGUGCAGAGUUAGCUCAAUUCAGCAAGAACUUAACAAGGCAAAGAGAGGACGGAGAUUGGGCUGGGGCCAGGUAUCUGGGAGCUGGGUCUGCUCUCCUGGGUGGAGCUUUCCCAGGCCAGUGGUGCAGACCAAUGGGGACUGAAGUUGGAGAUCCUGGUAAGACAGCUCCAGGGAUACCCAAAGGAAAAAACCAAGCUAAUGGAGGCAGCCAGAAAACAGGACACACCGCAGAACAAAAGAUGGAUCACCAAGUGGAAAAAUGAAGCAGAGGAGAUCGGAGGAGGCUUUCUGCCCUCAGAGAGGGUUAGUUUCCAGGGUAAGGGAAUCCCAGGGGCAAUUCACCACUCCGGGCUCCUCACAGAAACCAGUGCCCAAGUCCCCUCCUGCAAUGUGAUCUUCCAAACUAAAGAAAAGGUCUGCAGAGCCUCCAGGAGAAGAUUCAGGGAAGCUGCUCUGGUGAAAAGGAAGCAGGGAUUGCAGGAUGGCGGAUCUUCAAAGGGAAAAAGGAGACCAUAGAGCAGCUCUGUUGAAUUGAAAUAUGACACAGCUUUCCUAGUAAUUUAAAACUUUCUAAUAGCCACACUAAUAAAAGUAAAAAUGGACAGGUGAAAUUAAUUUCAAUGAUAUAUUUUAAUUCUAAUACACUCAAAAUAUUUCAGUAUGUCAUCCAUACAAAAUUUAUUUAUUAUUAUUUUUUGAGAUGAAGUCUCACUCACUCUGUCGCCCAGGCUGGAGUGCGGUGGCGCAAUCUCGGCUCACUGCAGCCUCCGCCUCCCAGGUUCAAGCAAUUCUCCUGCCUCCGCCUCCUAAGUAGCUGGGAUUACAGGUGCACACCCCCAUGCCUGGCUACUUUUUGUAUUUUUAGUAGAGACAG
This 892-nucleotide long non-coding RNA is filed under the name Homo sapiens (human). RNAcentral describes it as "HSALNT0120689". Lineage: Eukaryota; Metazoa; Chordata; Mammalia; Primates; Hominidae. The record is from RNAcentral.